Molecule: long non-coding RNA, 362 nt
Organism: Andrographis paniculata
Lineage: Eukaryota; Viridiplantae; Streptophyta; Magnoliopsida; Lamiales; Acanthaceae
Exons: 3
Source: RefSeq, a predicted model, not a curated record
CUUUAGAAUGUUCCAUUCAAUUUGAUUAAUUACGCUCGAAUUAUCUACACAAUCGUUCUCCUAGCUUCCGGGAAUCCGCCAUUGACACAGAGCUUUUGCAGCCUGGCCGAACACAAUCAAGGUUUUCAGGACAACAGUUGAAGUUUGGUUUCAUUCACAAAAAUCUUUGCAACCUCAACAUUUCAGACUACACUUUCACCCUUGUACACUUCAUGUUUGCAUGUCCUAACCCCUGAAGCUACAUCCAAGGUGAUGAACAGCGCGAGAUCUAAAGCAAUCAACGCCGCCGAUAAGAAGAAAAACCGAUCCAUAUGCCCUUCGUUCAAAUUUGGCGAUAUCCAUCCGGGCUUACCGUGCUUCGA